RNAcentral lists this ribosomal RNA (492 nucleotides) under uncultured bacterium. Its description in RNAcentral is "partial 16S ribosomal RNA". It matches the Rfam family "Bacterial small subunit ribosomal RNA", at positions 29 to 507 of the family's 1533-position model. The record is from RNAcentral.
AGUGAACGCUGGCGGUAGGCCUAACACAUGCAAGUCGAACGGCAGCACAGUAAGAGCUUGCUCUUACGGGUGGCGAGUGGCGGACGGGUGAGGCAUACAUCGGAAUCUACUUUUUCGUGGGGGAUAACGUAGGGAAACUUACGCUAAUACCGCAUACGACCUACGGGUGAAAGCAGGGGAUCUUCGGACCUUGCGCGAUUGAAUGAGCCGAUGCCGGAUUAGCUAGUUGGCGGGGUAAAGGCCCACCAAGGCGACGAUCCGUAGCUGGUCUGAGAGGAUGAUCGGCCACACUGGAACUGAGACACGGUCCAGACUCCUACGGGAGGCAGCAGUGGGGAAUAUUGGACAAUGGGCGCAAGCCUGAUCCAGCCAUACCGCGUGGGUGAAGAAGGCCUUCGGGUUGUAAAGCCCUUUUGUUGGGAAAGAAAAGCAGCAGGUUAAUACCCCGCUGUUCUGACGGUACCCAAAGAAUAAGCACCGGCUAACUUCGUG